Molecule: long non-coding RNA, 1156 nt
Organism: Rhipicephalus sanguineus (brown dog tick)
Lineage: Eukaryota; Metazoa; Arthropoda; Arachnida; Ixodida; Ixodidae
Exons: 4
Source: RefSeq, a predicted model, not a curated record
UUGGCCAAUCCCUCGCAGUGGGUACGAGCCAGAUAUAAGGAACAAGCAAGCAAGCAAGACUUAAAAAAGAACUGAGCCUUUACUGGUGACAGAAGGUGCCAAACAGAGUCUCCUGCAGAAGCAAAACGUAUAAGGUCGCGGAGGUUGCAGAUGACGCCAGGAAUCUCCUGGCUUGUCUGAAAUCCUUGCGAGACCACGAGACGCGCGGAAUCGCCCUCGACCCUCAACAGCUCAGGCACCUGCGUAAGGCCUACCUGUACUUGUUUGACGAGGACAUCACGCGCAAAGAUAAGCCGCUGUGGGGUUGGCGAUUAUGGCAAGCGAGAGCCGACCGUGUUCUCGACAAAGCACGCCGGAUCCUGGACGUGGUUGAGCGGAUAAACUGCAUGACGGGCAUUGGCAUCAUGCCUGACAAGGACGACAAGGAGAAACGAGUCAAGUUCAAGAACGAGCUUGCUGGGCUACUUUUAGAAGUACACGUUCUGGAUCAGCACCUCAUUGACGAGUAGGCAAGUCCCUGGGGCAAAGAAGACGUCGAAAUUCUUAGCCAGCUAGUGGUUAAUUUAACCGUGUCUGGAUGCGGCAAAAACUAUUGAGACAUAUUCAAAUCGCGGCUUGAUUCCAUCUACAAGACGGAAUCGUUAAGCAGUGGUGACUUAAACCGGGGUCCAGAUGAUCUAGUGAAAUAAUAAAAGAAGAUCUAGUGAAAAGGUAUUUCAGGCAAUCUGUGCCCUAGGACCACAUUGUUUCACAUAUUUCUCUUAAAAAAAGAAGCUCUAGUGAAAAGGUAUUUGAGCCUUUCGGCAUUUCUGAUUACUCAUAUUGUGCCUAUAUGCCUAUAUAUAUUCGUGAAAAUAAUUUGUUGAUAUGCAGGAGUGCUUGAACAACUUUCAUGGAGUUGAAAGUUUGGCUCCACUAAAACACUGAAGUGCACAUGUAGAGUACUGAAAGGAAUUGGCACAUCUGCAACCGUCUGCCUCAUGUUCCUGGACUUUACUUAUACAAUGGAUUUUUUUUCGCUUACACUCAAAUAGACAGCAUUACUCACUCCAGCCUUCGGCGUAUGUUCAACCAGUGUACUGUCUCUAGUUCCCUGCCAAUUUUAUCAUUUUCCGAGCAUUAUAGCACAGUAUUUCUUGACUUGAUUUGAUUGAAU